ACACUUGGUAAUUUUCUACUUGGCCCCUAUCAUGUUUCCGCUGUAAAUCUUUUCCUUUUUGUUGUCUAAUGAACUUGAUGUUAACAGAGAAGUCAUGGUGGGUCAGCAGAGAACUUAGGUUGGAUUGAGAUAAAAUGCAAUUUCCGAAUCAUAUUUAAGGAUGUAAAAUAUGACAACUUUGUACUAUUUUCCCCUUUAGUUUCUGUAAAUGAUUUUUCUAUAUGUAAUUUUAUGUCAUAUAUCCAUAGUUUUAAAAAAAAAAGGUAUUUCACUGAUCAAAUAGAAUAUAAUAAAGUGUCAGUGAUCACCUCAUAUAGAUGCACUAUGUAAGACAUGCCUGGAGGGAAUAUUGGAGCCGAGACAGUAAGCAACAAAAUAGUUGAACCGUUACUAAACAUUCUGUAAGCUUAUUGUAAAAGUUCUUAAAAAGGCUUCACUGUUGAUUGACAUCCAGUUAGACAAAAGAAGUUUAGUGAAGUUUCUAUUCCUUUCAUUACUACUUUGGGUUUUACCCGUCCUCUCAAUUUCAGGAUUUAGAGAAUUUGGAUGAAGAUUAUGAAGCAUAGAUAAUCUAUGAUCACCAAGGACUUAGGGUGUUUUUCUGUUCAUUCUUCUUCAACUUUUUCUUAGGUUUUCUUUAUCGCUCUCUAUGGUUGCAACUGAAGAAAUCCAAUCGUCCCUCAAUCAUGCAUGGCUUGGAGUUCUAAAAACUGAAAUCAAUCCAAGGAAGCCUGUAGUUUGUAGUGGUAAUCGGGUUCGUAUAGUUUAUGAUUCUUAUCCAAAGAAGAUUGCGGUUUCUAGAAGAACGCCUCCAAGGAAGGUCCAAGUUAUUCCCCUAAUGCAGAUAAUGUACUUAUUUUCGUUCUACAUGGUAAUUGAGAAGAUUUCCAAAUUAUCGAGCCUACGGUGAGACAGUUUUUAUCAUGUUUUAGGACUCAAGCACAGAAGUUGAUGGUGUGUGAAAAUCAAUGGUCUUUCAUGCAUAAUCACUGAAUUAGCACUACUUAGAACAUACAAUCUGCUGUUAUUACAAUUGUUUGAACUUAUUUAAUCUAAAAUGGACAAUGUCAAUCUCACCCAUGGAGUUUUUAAUAUGCUGGCAAAUAAGAAGAGAAUAAUGUGGAAAGCUACCUUCUUGCAGUUGAACAAUAUAUAAACAGAGAAAUCUUAGAUGUUUUUAACAAGCAGAGCCAUUGCUGGGCGGAAUGUGUUUAAAUGUAAUAGAAUUCAUUAGUACAGUAUAGAAUUACUAAUAUGUAAAUGUAGUUCUGUUAUGUCAUAUUGCAGGUGGAGGAAAUGAUUUUUCCUUCCUUAGUGGCCUUAUUAUCAACGAUCGUGAAUCAAA
Long non-coding RNA from Lycium ferocissimum, 1345 nucleotides. RefSeq lists it as uncharacterized. Lineage: Eukaryota; Viridiplantae; Streptophyta; Magnoliopsida; Solanales; Solanaceae. The transcript is spliced from 2 exons. The record is from RefSeq and is a predicted model, not a curated record.